This 72-nucleotide transfer RNA is filed under the name Candidatus Nomurabacteria bacterium RIFCSPHIGHO2_02_40_30. RNAcentral's name for it is "tRNA-Asp". It matches the Rfam family "tRNA". From Rfam's summary of the family: Transfer RNA (tRNA) molecules are approximately 80 nucleotides in length. Their secondary structure includes four short double-helical elements and three loops (D, anti-codon, and T loops). The record is from RNAcentral. Lineage: Bacteria; Candidatus Nomuraibacteriota. RNAcentral also lists the same sequence under 4 other names.
GCAGCUGUAGCUCAUCGGUAGAGCGCGCCCCUGUCACGGGCGAGGCAGCGGGAUCAACACCCGUCAGCUGCG